RNAcentral lists this ribosomal RNA (402 nucleotides) under Gemmobacter fontiphilus. Its description in RNAcentral is "bacterial SSU rRNA". It matches the Rfam family "Bacterial small subunit ribosomal RNA", at positions 353 to 772 of the family's 1533-position model. RNAcentral also lists the same sequence under 1 other name. The record is from RNAcentral. Lineage: Bacteria; Pseudomonadati; Pseudomonadota; Alphaproteobacteria; Rhodobacterales; Paracoccaceae.
AGUGGGGAAUCUUAGACAAUGGGGGAAACCCUGAUCUAGCCAUGCCGCGUGAUCGAUGAAGGCCUUAGGGUUGUAAAGAUCUUUCAGUGGGGAAGAUAAUGACUGUACCCACAGAAGAAGCCCCGGCUAACUCCGUGCCAGCAGCCGCGGUAAUACGGAGGGGGCUAGCGUUGUUCGGAAUUACUGGGCGUAAAGCGCACGUAGGCGGAACAGAAAGUCAGAGGUGAAAUCCCAGGGCUCAACCUUGGAACUGCCUUUGAAACUCCUGUUCUUGAGGUCGAGAGAGGUGAGUGGAAUUCCGAGUGUAGAGGUGAAAUUCGUAGAUAUUCGGAGGAACACCAGUGGCGAAGGCGGCUCACUGGCUCGAUACUGACGCUGAGGUGCGAAAGCGUGGGGAGCAAA